CGUUAUCCCAGACUUAGAGCAGUGUUUGCCUUUAUACAAACUGUCAGAGGCAGCUGUAGCAAGUUUGGUGUUUACUAGAGGGGAGGAGAAAAAAAGAAAAAGAAAAGAAAAGCCUGCUGGCCCAGCCUCCAAAACCAGUUCAGCGGCGAAACGGUUAAUAAGAGGAGUAAAGGCUAUUUUUAAGUCUGGCUCCCCUCUCUGAGGCACUCCUGAAAACUCACCCCUGUACUGCAGAAAUCCUAAAUUGCAGCGCCCUGCACCCCACUGGAAGUCUUCAGUCUGCUCUAACAAGAAAGGAUCAUGAAUAGACCUGAAGCCUAAGAGAUGUCCUAGAACCAUGCCAAGGCUGAGGGGUCCUACACCCAGCAGUGCAAGGAAGAUUCAUAGAAAAGCAGUGAGAAACUGAGUCAUCAGCCAGCACCCAGUGGCCUGGGCAUGGGGACCCAUGAGAACCUGCUAUGAAACUUUGUGUCAGCAAAAUGUCCUAAGAUUUCAUAUCAAAUUAGCAUUCAUUAGAAUUCUAUUUGUGUGUGUUUUUUUUUAUUUGGUUUCCAUUUAAAUGUAUUCUUAUUUUAUUGUUUCUUUAGUUCUAUGUAUGUAAGGAGUUAAUGCGUAUAUAAAUAAAAAUACAAUCUUUAAAAGCAUUAUAAUAAAAAUAGUCUGAGUCAA
Pipistrellus kuhlii (Kuhl's pipistrelle) is the source of this 669-nucleotide long non-coding RNA. RefSeq lists it as uncharacterized. The transcript is spliced from 2 exons. NCBI's taxonomy places the organism in Eukaryota, Metazoa, Chordata, Mammalia, Chiroptera, Vespertilionidae. The record is from RefSeq and is a predicted model, not a curated record.